RNAcentral lists this ribosomal RNA (91 nucleotides) under Amphilophus citrinellus (Midas cichlid). The record is from RNAcentral. Lineage: Eukaryota; Metazoa; Chordata; Actinopteri; Cichliformes; Cichlidae.
GCUUACAGCCAUAGCACCCUGAGCACAUCCAAUCUCAUCUGAUCUAGUACUUGGAUGGGAGAGCACUUGGGAAUACCAGGUGUCAUUAGUA